CUCUAAAGUGAUGACUCUUUGAGGACUUACUGACUUUGGGAGUAGCAGAAACUGCCACCAUGCCUGCGAAGCCUGCCCCUAUCAAGAAGGCAGCCCCGAAAGAGCCUGCUCCUAAGAAGGAGGAAGCACCUGCACCUGCACCCGCGGAGGCGGCUCCUGCUGAAGUUGCUCCCCCUGCCGAGGUCGAAGCUCCACCGGCAGAGGCUGCCCCUGCCGAAGCAGCUGCCCCUGCUGAGGCAGCUCCAACCGAAGAAAAGGCUCCCGCAGAACCCGCGCCUGAGCAGCCCAAAGCACCCACACCCCCUCCUCCAGAUGCAGCCGCCGCCACUGCUGCAGAGGAAGGCACCCCCGCUGCUGAUGCUGAGGUCGUGGCCCACCCUGAUGAGCCCACCAGUGAGCCCCUGGAAGUGACAGUGGACGACAAGAGCGACACUUCAGUGACCAUCACCUGGAGGCCUCCAAAGACUAUUCCAGCCAACUCUGGCCUGGAUGGAUACACUGUGGAAAUCACCAAGGAGGGAACUGAAGACUGGAAAGCAGCCAACGAGGAUCUGACCGUGUCCUGCCGUUAUGUCAUCAAGAACCAGACUACCGGCGACCGUCUGCUGAUCCGAGUGGUUGCUGUAAACCCUGGUGGCCGCAGCCCCCCUGCUACCAUCGCCGACCCCGUUCUGGUCAAGGAGGUUGGGGCUCGCCCCAAAGUCCGCCUCCCUCGUUUCCUGAGGCAGAGGUAUGUCAAGAAAGUCGGCGAGAAGAUCAACAUUGUCAUCCCGUACUCUGGCAAACCUAAGCCAGUGGUUAGCUGGUUAAAGGAUGGACAGCCCCUCGACUCAAAGAGGGCCAACAUCCGUACAUCUGACAGAGACAGCAUCCUGUUCAUCCGUCAAGCAGAGAGGGUGGACUCUGGCUCAUACGAAAUGUGCGUGAAGGUGGACGACUUUGAGGACAAAGCUGCUAUCAUCAUCCAGAUUAUUGAGUUACCCGGGCCACCAGCCAGCAUUAAGAUUGUGGAUGUCUGGGGAUUCAACGUUGCUUUGGAGUGGACCGUACCCAAAGAUAAUGGAAACACAGAGAUCACAGGCUACACUGUCCAGAAAGCUGACAAGAAGACCGGGGACUGGUUCAACAUUUUGGAGCACUACGCCAGACUAAAUGCCACCAUCUCAGACCUCAUUAUGGGCAACACCUACACCUUCAGGGUCUUUGCAGAGAACAAGUGCGGACUCAGUGAGGAAUGUGCCGUGACCAAGGGAGAAGCCACCAUUGUGAAGGAGGUUAUUGACUACAAACCUACCCCGUUCGUGGAGCAUGACUUCACCGAGGCUCCCAAGUUCACCACUGUUCUGAACGACAGGUCCACCACUGUUGGCUACAGCACCAAGCUGCUGUGUUCUGUGAGGGGAUGCCCCAAGCCUAAGAUUAUGUGGAUGAAGAACAAGAUGAUUCUCAACAACAUGGACAACCCCAAGUACAGGAUGAUCAGCACAGGGGGCAUCUGCACCCUGGAGAUCCGUAAGCCUGGCCCAUACGACGGUGGUGAGUAUGUCUGCAGAGCCGAGAAUACACUGGGGAAGGUCGACACCGGCUGCAAGCUGGAGGUCAGAAAGCCUGGGCAAGCAGAUGCUGACAAAGACAAGAAGGAACAGUAAAUGCACAUGCAUACAGUCCCAAAUUAGAAGCAAGCGGAAUGAGGCCUUUACAAAAAGGACGGUUCUGGAUGCUGGAAAAAACAUGUACAUAUGACUGACUGGAGAGAACAAACAAUGAAAUGGUUAAUGCCUACAACCGCUGUAUCCUACCCUUUCCUAUAUUUAUGAAGAUUUUUUUUUCUUUCCUUUAUUUAUUUUUCUUCCUUAGUACUCUCUGGUAUAGAGUUCAUAUCCAUGUCCACAACCAACUCAGAUAUCAACUACUGUCUGUGUCACAUCGUAAUUCUGAAUAGGUCUCCAUUAUAUAGAGCAAAUCGAUUGUUACUGAUUGGAGAUUAAAGAUGUAAAACCUCGGAAUGUGUUACAAUAUUUUGAUUUAAUGCUUUUCUUUUGUUGAAUAAACCUACAAUUGAAUAAACCUUCUCUAACCUGAAGUAAAAAUUA
Molecule: non-coding RNA, 2093 nt
Organism: Salmo salar (Atlantic salmon)
Lineage: Eukaryota; Metazoa; Chordata; Actinopteri; Salmoniformes; Salmonidae
Source: RefSeq, a predicted model, not a curated record